CCUACGGGAGGCUGCAGUGGGGAAUAUUGGACAAUGGGGGCAACCCUGAUCCAGCCAUGCCGCGUGUGUGAAGAAGGCCCUCGGGUUGUAAAGCACUUUCAGUGAGGAAGAACGCCUGGUGGUUAAUACCCAUCAGGAAAGACAUCACUCACAGAAGAAGCACCGGCUAACUCCGUGCCAGCAGCCGCGGUAAUACGGAGGGUGUGAGCGUUAAUCGGAAUUACUGGGCGUAAAGCGCGCGUAGGUGGCUUGAUAAGCCGGUUGUGAAAGCCCCGGGCUCAACCUGGGAACGGCAUCCGGAACUGUCAAGCUAGAGUGCAGGAGAGGAAGGUAGAAUUCCCGGUGUAGCGGUGAAAUGCGUAGAGAUCGGGAGGAAUACCAGUGGCGAAGGCGGCCUUCUGGACUGACACUGACACUGAGGUGCGAAAGCGUGGGUAGCAAACAGGAUUAGAUACCCUGGUAGUC
This 465-nucleotide ribosomal RNA is filed under the name Vreelandella stevensii. RNAcentral describes it as "partial 16S ribosomal RNA". It matches the Rfam family "Bacterial small subunit ribosomal RNA", at positions 338 to 795 of the family's 1533-position model. The record is from RNAcentral. Lineage: Bacteria; Pseudomonadati; Pseudomonadota; Gammaproteobacteria; Oceanospirillales; Halomonadaceae.